RNAcentral lists this transfer RNA (76 nucleotides) under Anaeromicrobium sediminis. Its description in RNAcentral is "tRNA-Val". It matches the Rfam family "tRNA". From Rfam's summary of the family: Transfer RNA (tRNA) molecules are approximately 80 nucleotides in length. RNAcentral also lists the same sequence under 2 other names. The record is from RNAcentral. Lineage: Bacteria; Bacillati; Bacillota; Clostridia; Peptostreptococcales; Thermotaleaceae.
GGGCGUAUAGCUCAGCUGGGAGAGCACCUGCCUUACAAGCAGGGGGUCGUAGGUUCGAGCCCUGCUACGCCCACCA